GCUUACGGCCAUACCACCCUGAGCACGCCCGAUCUCGUCUGAUCUCGGAAGCUAAGCAGGGUCGGGCCUGGUUAGUACUUGGAUGGGAGACCGCCUGGGAAUACCAGGUGCUGUAAGCUUUU
This 122-nucleotide ribosomal RNA is filed under the name Cyprinus carpio (common carp). Lineage: Eukaryota; Metazoa; Chordata; Actinopteri; Cypriniformes; Cyprinidae. The record is from RNAcentral.